UUGCGGUUAAAAAGCUCGUAGUUGGAUUUCUGUCGAAGACGGUCGGUCCGCUCUAUGAGCGUGUAUCUGAUUCGGCUUUGGCAUCCUCGUGGGGAACGUAACUGUGCUUGAUUGCAUGGUGCGGAAUUCACGACUUUUACUUUGAGGAAAUUAGAGUGUUCACGGCAGGCAAGCGCCUUGAAUACAUUAGCAUGGAAUAAUAAUAUAGGACUUUGGUUCUAUUUUGUUGGUUUCUAGGACCAAAGUAAUGAUUAAUAGAGAUAAUUGGGGGCAUUUGUAUUAACGCGUCAGAGGUGGAAUUCUUGGAUUGCGUUACGACAAACUACUGCGAAAGCAUUUGCCAAGGAUGUUUUCAUUGAUCAAGAACGA
This 369-nucleotide ribosomal RNA is filed under the name uncultured marine eukaryote. RNAcentral describes it as "SSU rRNA". It matches the Rfam family "Eukaryotic small subunit ribosomal RNA", at positions 613 to 986 of the family's 1831-position model. The record is from RNAcentral.